Molecule: long non-coding RNA, 1737 nt
Organism: Sphaerodactylus townsendi
Lineage: Eukaryota; Metazoa; Chordata; Lepidosauria; Squamata; Sphaerodactylidae
Exons: 3
Source: RefSeq, a predicted model, not a curated record
CUUUCUUCCCAGGCAACUUCAUGUUGUGCUCCCUGCUCCUUUGGGUCUACUGUGUCAAGACAAGAAAGGAAACUGACCCUGCUCUGAUGGGUGACUAUUCAUAACAAGUGAAAUUUCAAGAAACAGUACUCAAGGAUUACAGAGGGAAUUCUCCAUCCUGUUUCCCUAGUGUCUGGGAAGACUACAGGUGAAGCACAAGGAACACAAAAGACAAAAAAACCCUAUUUUUCAAAGGCAACAAUCAUUUGGAGGCAAUUGUACCUGGAAUAUACAGAUAGUGUUGCUGGAAAAUAGUUUCCCCAUAUCACUAAUGUUCUGGAAUUGAGAAAUCAAAGAGAAUAAUACAGGAGGAUUUGAAGAGGAAAUGGAAAUGCAGUUCCAGGUGAGGUUAAAUGGAGUGGGGAAAUCAAGAAAAUGUGGAAAGUUCUGUCAUUUUCAGAUAAUAGCAAUGUCUAGCAUCAUAUUAAAGCAAAACUGUAUUGACUUCAGACUGCAUUCUUGGUCAGAAGUCUGCCAUUGUCAUCAGGAACCAUGCUGUCCACAACUAGUAUUUACAGGUGGAAUCACAACAUUAUCUGACUCUACACACAAUUUAUUUAUUUAGUACAUUUUCAUCUCAACCUUCCUCCAUGUAGCUCAGGACAUUACAUAGCAUUCUGUCCUCUUGAUCUGUCUUCACAACAACCUUGUGAGGUACUUUAGGAUGAGAGAGAGUGGUGAUUUUCACACAGCAGAAAUAAAAUGUCCUUCACUGACUGGCUCAAGGUCAUCCAGCAGCUUCUACAAAUCAGAGUCUAAAAGACAAUGAUUUCCAGCUAGAAAUACUGAUAGAUCGUAUAUGAAAGCAAGACUUCUGGCAUUCAGUUAGUCUGAUGAAUGUGGCUGAAAUGUUCUGGUAUCAGACACAAAUGCAUUUUAUUGUAACAGCUAUUAGCAGGAAAAGCUGAAAGUAGUAGCACUGUUGUUGCGAGUGGGAUUUCUUUUUCUGAAAUUAGAUAUAGCCAUUUUCCUCUUCUUUUUUCUUUUUUCUCACUAUCUUAAAAGAGGGAUUCUCUUGCAAUACAUUUCUCUUGGAAAAGAAAUCAGAGCACUCUUUGUAACUGCAUGCCUUUGAUAUUAUAUACCACAUGAUGGUGCUCUAGCAAGAGGAUGGGAAAAUCUGGGUAAGACAUUGCCUGCUUUUUUCAGAACCUCUCUUCCUGCCCCUUUACUCCUCCAAUUUCUAUUUGAUCAAAUGGGAGUGAUUGAAAACAUACUCCAAAUUCCUAAAAAUAGCAAAGAAACAGAUUGUAGAAUUUCAGGAAGAAACUAGACAAAGAGGUUAUUGAAAUCUUAAGGUAUGGUCAUGUAUCCACUGAAGCUAAGCAGGUUGGGAGGCUGUACAGUACCUAUAUGGAAGACUGCUUUCAAACUACACUUUCAGUUCCACUAAAUAUAGAAAAAAUAAAUACACUAAGACAAUAGACCUUGUUUUGGGAUGGGAUAACAAGGAUGACUCCAGACCUCCUUCUCUUUGGACUUUAUGGCACCAAUCCACUAGGCCCAGUUGGCCAUGGAGCCAUAUUUCUGAACAGUUACAAGCCAAUCAGUGGAUUGCAUACUUCUCACUUUAUGCAUGUGUAACCCCCAUGCCCAGAAUGGGUUGGCCCAGAAUGGGUUGACCCAGUAAGGGGUGGAGACUCAGAGCAGCAAGAGGCUGCAGGAGAGAGCUCUUUGGAGAAGACAAGGGUACCAGAC